This 253-nucleotide ribosomal RNA is filed under the name uncultured bacterium. RNAcentral describes it as "partial 16S ribosomal RNA". It matches the Rfam family "Bacterial small subunit ribosomal RNA", at positions 524 to 776 of the family's 1533-position model. The record is from RNAcentral.
UACGUAGGCAGCAAGCGUUGUUCGGAGUUACUGGGCGUAAAGGGUGUGUAGGCGGUUCUUUUAGUUUGGUGUGAAAUCUCCCGGCUUAACCGGGAGGGUGCGCCGAAUACUGAGGGACUAGAGUACGGGAGAGGAAAGUGGAAUUCCUGGUGUAGCGGUGAAAUGCGUAGAUAUCAGGAGGAACACCGGUGGUGUAGACGGCUUUCUGGACCGUAACUGACGCUGAGACACGAAAGCGUGGGUAGCAAACAGG